RNAcentral lists this ribosomal RNA (253 nucleotides) under uncultured bacterium. Its description in RNAcentral is "partial 16S ribosomal RNA". It matches the Rfam family "Bacterial small subunit ribosomal RNA", at positions 524 to 776 of the family's 1533-position model. The record is from RNAcentral.
UACAGAGGUCCCAAGCGUUGUUCGGAUUCAUUGGGCGUAAAGGGUGCGUAGGCGGCGCGGUAAGUCGGGUGUGAAAUCUCGGAGCUUAACUCCGAAACUGCAUUCGAUACUGCCGUGCUUGAGGACUGGAGAGGAGACUGGAAUUUACGGUGUAGCGGUGAAAUGCGUAGAGAUCAUGAGGAAGACCAGUGGCGAAGGCGGGUCUCUGGACAGUUCCUGACACUGAGGCACGAAGGCCAGGGGAGCAAACGGG